RNAcentral lists this ribosomal RNA (301 nucleotides) under uncultured bacterium. Its description in RNAcentral is "partial 16S ribosomal RNA". It matches the Rfam family "Bacterial small subunit ribosomal RNA", at positions 509 to 807 of the family's 1533-position model. The record is from RNAcentral.
CAGUCGCCGCGGUAAUACAGAGGGUGCGAGCGUUAAUCGGAUUUACUGGGCGUAAAGCGUGCGUAGGCGGCUUUUUAAGUCGGAUGUGAAAUCCCCGAGCUUAACUUGGGAAUUGCAUUCGAUACUGGGAAGCUAGAGUAUGGGAGAGGAUGGUAGAAUUCCAGGUGUAGCGGUGAAAUGCGUAGAGAUCUGGAGGAAUACCGAUGGCGAAGGCAGCCAUCUGGCCUAAUACUGACGCUGAGGUACGAAAACAUGGGGAGCAAACAGGAUUAGAUACCCGUGUAGUCCCUGUCUCUUAUAC